GACGAACGCUGGCGGCGUGCUUAACACAUGCAAGUCGAACGGAAAGGCCCCUUUGGGGGUCCUCGAGUGGCGAACGGGUGAGUAACACGUGAGUAACCUGCCCUUGACUUCGGGAUAACUUCAGGAAACUGGGGCUAAUACCGGAUAGGAAUCCUUGCUGCAUGGUGGGGGUUGGAAAGCUUCGGCGGUUUUGGAUGGACUCGCGGCUUAUCAGCUUGUUGGUGGGGUAGUGGCUUGCCAAGGCUUUGACGGGUAGCCGGCCUGAGAGGGCGACCGGCCACAUUGGGACUGAGAUACGGCCCAGACUCCUACGGGAGGCAGCAGUGGGGAAUAUUGCACAAUGGGCGGAAGCCUGAUGCAGCAACGCCGCGUGCGGGAUGACGGCCUUCGGGUUGUAAACCGCUUUCAGCAGGGGCGAAGCUUGUGGUGACGGUACCUGCAGAAGAAGCACCGGCUAACUACGUG
Molecule: ribosomal RNA, 465 nt
Filed under: uncultured bacterium
Lineage: Bacteria
Description: partial 16S ribosomal RNA
Rfam family: Bacterial small subunit ribosomal RNA
Source: RNAcentral